AUUUAGUCUGGCCUUACCUGCUGGUUUGGAAGGAUCUUGCUUGGUACUUCCAACUACUAGCAUAUUGGUGGCCUCUAUGCUAUAGAAGGAAUCACCUUGUCUGCUUGCUGCUGCUAUUUAUAUCCCAGCAGCUUUUGUAUCUGACACCAGUGAUCUCUGCUCAGGAAGUCUUCCAGUUUCUUUUAAUUCCUAACUGAAUCUCUACAAUUCAAAGGCUUCUUUAUUAAACCUCCUCAUUCCACCGACGUUCCCCUACCCCUCCUGGUUCCUAUAUGGUCAUUCCAUCUUGGCCCCAUAAUUUUUUGGGGGUGACCUCUUGUGGUGUUGAGCGGGGUGUUUCACAUUAUGUGGACAGCUGUUUUUUCUGCCUGGGAUGGAAGCUA
Long non-coding RNA from Rana temporaria (common frog), 383 nucleotides. RefSeq lists it as uncharacterized. The transcript has 3 exons. Lineage: Eukaryota; Metazoa; Chordata; Amphibia; Anura; Ranidae. The record is from RefSeq and is a predicted model, not a curated record.